UACAGAGGGUGCGAGCGUUGUUCGGAAUUACUGGGCGUAAAGCGCGCGCAGGCGGCCCUUUAAGUCUACCCGUGAAAUGCCGGAGCUCAACUCCGUGCACGCCGGGGGGAUACUGGAGGGCUGGAGACAGGUAGAGGCAGGCGGAAUUCCGGGUGUAGCGGUGGAAUGCGUAGAGAUCCGGAAGAACACCAGAGGCGAAGGCGGCCUGCUGGGCCUUGUCUGACGCUGAGGCGCGAAAGCGUGGGGAGCGAACAGG
Molecule: ribosomal RNA, 256 nt
Filed under: uncultured bacterium
Lineage: Bacteria
Description: partial 16S ribosomal RNA
Rfam family: Bacterial small subunit ribosomal RNA
Source: RNAcentral